This is a small nuclear RNA of Cricetulus griseus (Chinese hamster), 165 nucleotides long. Its record names the gene U1. It matches the Rfam family "U1 spliceosomal RNA". Rfam says of the family: U1 is a small nuclear RNA (snRNA) component of the spliceosome (involved in pre-mRNA splicing). Its 5' end forms complementary base pairs with the 5' splice junction, thus defining the 5' donor site of an intron. There are significant differences in sequence and secondary structure between metazoan and yeast U1 snRNAs, the latter being much longer (568 nucleotides as compared to 164 nucleotides in human). The record is from Ensembl. Lineage: Eukaryota; Metazoa; Chordata; Mammalia; Rodentia; Cricetidae.
AAACUUACCUGGCAGGGGAGAUACCAUGAUCAUGAAGGUGGUUUUCCCAGGGCGAGUCUUAUCUAUUGCACUCCAGAUGUGCUAACCCCUGCAAUUUCCCCAAAUGGAGGGAAACUUGACUGCAUAAUUUGUGGUAGUGGGGGACUGCGUUCAUGCUCUCCCCUG